UACGUAGGGUGCGAGCGUUAAUCGGAAUUACUGGGCGUAAAGCGUGCGCAGGCGGUUCGAUAAGUCUGAUGUGAAAUCCCCGGGCUCAACCUGGGAACUGCGUUGGAAACUGUCGAGCUAGAGUGUAGAAGAGGGGGGUAGAAUUCCACGUGUAGCAGUGAAAUGCGUAGAGAUGUGGAGGAAUACCGAUGGCGAAGGCAGCCCCCUGGGCUAACACUGACGCUCAUGCACGAAAGCGUGGGGAGCAAACAGGAUUAGAUACCCUGGUAGUCCACGCCCUAAACGAUGUCUACUAGUUGUUGGUGGAGUAAAAUCCAUUAGUCACGCAGCUAACGCGUGAAGUAGACCGCCUGGGGAGUACGGUCGCAAGAUUAAA
This 376-nucleotide ribosomal RNA is filed under the name uncultured bacterium. RNAcentral's name for it is "bacterial SSU rRNA". It matches the Rfam family "Bacterial small subunit ribosomal RNA", at positions 524 to 898 of the family's 1533-position model. The record is from RNAcentral.